Molecule: ribosomal RNA, 1068 nt
Filed under: Cornitermes ovatus
Lineage: Eukaryota; Metazoa; Arthropoda; Insecta; Blattodea; Termitidae
Description: 16S ribosomal RNA
Rfam family: Bacterial large subunit ribosomal RNA (bases 763-923)
Source: RNAcentral
UUUAGUGGUCUCUGGUUUUUCAAGAAAUGAAUUUAAUUCAUACAUCCUAUUUAAUUUCUGUUAUUUUUCUAUUUAUUUUUAUUUGAUGUUAAGAUUAAGGGGGAUUAGCUCCUUAUUUUAUUUUUAUAAUUUUUUGUUAGUAUUUAGUUUUGUGGAUUUUAUGGUGAUUUUCAAUUUGAUUAUGUUAAAAUUUUAUUUGUUCUUUUAUUUAUUUUAUUUUAUUUAAAUUUUUAUUGAAACGUUUGCUUUAGUUUUGGUUGCAUGGUGAUUAUUGUGAAAUUAGUAAAUUUAUUUAUUAUGUUGUAUUAUUGAAUGUUAAUUUCUUUUGAGGAAUUAGGCAAAAUUAUUAUGUUCGCCUGUUUAACAAAAACAUCUUUUCUUGUUAGUUUUUGAAGUAUGGCCUGCCCACUGACUUUGAGUUGAAGGGCCGCGGUAUUUUGACCGUGCAAAGGUAGCAUAAUCAUUAGUUCUUUAAUUGUGAUCUGGUAUGAAUGGCUUGACGAGAUAUAAGCUGUCUUAGAGGUAUUAUUUAUUGAAUUUGGUUUUUGAGUUAAAAUUCUUAAAUGUUUUUAUGGGACGAGAAGACCCUAUAGAGUUUGACAUUUGUUUUGUUUAGUUUUUAUGGUUUGUUUUUAUAUAUAAGCUGGAUUAAUGUUUUGUUGGGGUGAUGGGAGGAAUUUUUUUAACUCCUCUUUACUUUUUUAUAUUUAUUUAUAUUUGUUUGAUCCAUUUAUUUUGAUUAUAAGAUUAAAUUACCUUAGGGAUAACAGCGUUAUCUUCCUUGAGAGUUCUUAUUGGCGGGGGGGUUUGCGACCUCGAUGUUGGAUUAAGGUGAAUUUUUGGUGCAGGAGCUGAAGUUGAUUGGGUCUGUUCGACCUUUAAAAUCUUACAUGAUCUGAGUUCAGACCGGCGUGAGCCAGGUUGGUUUUUAUCUAUAAGUAGAUUUUAUACCUUAGUACGAGAGGACCGGGUAUUUGGAAUAAUUUUGUUUAAUAUGAUUGUCAUUAAUAUUAUUGCUAUUUUGGCAGAUAAGUGCAUUGGAUUUAGAAUCUAUUAAUGUAAAAUUUU